This 253-nucleotide ribosomal RNA is filed under the name uncultured bacterium. Its description in RNAcentral is "partial 16S ribosomal RNA". It matches the Rfam family "Archaeal small subunit ribosomal RNA", at positions 474 to 727 of the family's 1478-position model. The record is from RNAcentral.
UACCAGCACCCCGAGUAGUCGGGACGAUUAUUGGGCCUAAAGCAUCCGUAGCCGGUUCUACAAGUCUUCCGUUAAAUCCACCUGCUUAACAGAUGGGCUGCGGAGGAUACUAUAGAGCUAGGAGGCGGGAGAGGCAAGCGGUACUUAGUGGGUAGGGGUAAAAUCCGUUGAUCCAUUGAAGACCACCAGUGGCGAAGGCGGCUUGCCAGAACGCACUCGACGGUGAGGGAUGAAAGCUGGGGGAGCAAACCGG